GAUGAAGAACGCAGCGAAAUGCGAUAAGUAAUGCGAAUUGCAGAAUUUCCGUGAGUCAUCGAAUCUUUGAACGCACAUUGCGCCCAUUAGUAUUCUAGUGGGCAUGCCUGUUCGAGCGUCAUUUCAACCCUCAAGCCUUAGUUGCUUGGUGUUGGGAGCUUAUCUUGCCGAAAGGCGGGACAACUCCUUAAAUUUAUCGGCGGAGUCGCGGUGACCCCAAGCGUAGUAAAUUAUUUUUUCCUCGCUUUAGGUGUUAACGCUGGCUUUUCUAGCCGUUAAACCCCCCCUAAUAUUUUAAUGGUUGACCUCGGAUCAGGUAGGACUACCCGCUGAACUUAAGCAUAUCAAUAAGCGGAGGA
Molecule: unclassified non-coding RNA, 359 nt
Filed under: soil metagenome
Description: partial contains 5.8S ribosomal RNA, internal transcribed spacer 2, and large subunit ribosomal RNA
Rfam family: 5.8S ribosomal RNA (bases 1-121)
Source: RNAcentral